ACGACACCUUCAGGGAUUGGAGC
Molecule: non-coding RNA, 23 nt
Filed under: Cricetulus griseus (Chinese hamster)
Lineage: Eukaryota; Metazoa; Chordata; Mammalia; Rodentia; Cricetidae
Source: RNAcentral